CGCACAGCGGGAUGCCGUGGUUAGCGCUCGCUCCUUGCUGCAAACUAUUUCCACGUGAUCUAUAUAGGUCAAAUUAUCAAGAUUUUGAAAAACCGGGCAGCAUUUUGAAAGACAAAGAACAGGAUUAAGCGGCUGUUUGCAAAGACUAAAUAUACCUUUUAAAAGAUCACAUGUAGUGAGAGGAAUUUGACAUAAUAAGGUUUGCUUAGGCACACCAUGCUGGAGGGAUUUACCAGGGUAUUUUUUCUUUAAGAAGAAUUAAAACAAAGAAGUCCAAGUGAUCCAAAUGCCAAAAGUGCCAAACAUGAUUUUCAAAGGAAGA
Saccostrea cuccullata (small rock oyster) is the source of this 322-nucleotide long non-coding RNA. RefSeq lists it as uncharacterized. The transcript is spliced from 3 exons. The record is from RefSeq and is a predicted model, not a curated record. Lineage: Eukaryota; Metazoa; Mollusca; Bivalvia; Ostreida; Ostreidae.